AACUGUUUUUCCAUUCUCUAGCUCCACGUGUUCAAUUUUUUUAGCUGCUACAUAUAAGUGAGAAAAUGCAAUAUUUGUUGUUCCGUGCCCGACUUUUUUCACUUAAGAGAAUAACCUCCAGGCCUUGUGGCUCUCUGAGCAGCACCAUGGUGGUUGGCAAGAACAAGCGCCUUACAAAAGGCAGCAAAAAGGGAGCCAAGAAGAAAGUGAUUGAUCCAUUUUCUAAGAAAGAUUGGUAUAAUGUGAAAGCAGCUGCUAUGUUCAAUAUAAGAAAUAUUGGAAAGACGCUAGUCACCAGGACCCAAGGAACCAAAAUUGCAUCCGACAGCCUCAAGGGUUGUGUGUUUGAAGUGAGUCUUGCUGAUUUGCAGAAUGACGAAUUUGCAUUUAGAAAAUUCAAGCUGAUUACUGAAGAUGUUCAGGGCAAAAACUGCCUGACUAAGUUCCAUGGCAUGGAUCUUAUUCGUGACAAAAUGUGUUCCAUGGUCAAAAAAUGGCAGACAAUGAUUGAAGCUCACAUUGAUGUCAAGACUACUCAUGGUUACUUGCUUCGUCUGUUCUGUGUUGGCUUUACUAAAAAACGCAACAAUCAGAUACGGAAGACCUCUUAUGCUCAGCACCAACAGGUCCGCCAAAUCCAGAAGAUGAUGGAAAUCAUGACCCAAGAGGUGCCGACAAAUGACUUGAAAGAAAUGGUCAAUAAAUUGAUUCGGCGGGGCGCAAAAGUAAAAAUGCUGAAGAAGCUCAAGUUUGAAUUGGGAAAACUCAUGGAGCUUCAUGGUGAAGGCAGUAGUUCCGGAAAAGUCACUGGGGACAAGACAGGUGCUAAAGUUGAACGAACUGAUGGAUAUGAACGACCAGUCCAAGAAUCUGUUUAA
Non-coding RNA from Macaca mulatta (Rhesus monkey), 878 nucleotides. The record is from RefSeq and is a predicted model, not a curated record. Lineage: Eukaryota; Metazoa; Chordata; Mammalia; Primates; Cercopithecidae.